This 206-nucleotide ribosomal RNA is filed under the name uncultured bacterium. Its description in RNAcentral is "partial 16S ribosomal RNA". It matches the Rfam family "Bacterial small subunit ribosomal RNA", at positions 568 to 774 of the family's 1533-position model. The record is from RNAcentral.
CACGUAGGCGGCUUUGUAAGUUAGAGGUGAAAGCCCGGGGCUCAACUCCGGAACUGCCUUUAAGACUGCAUCGCUUGAAUCUGGGAGAGGUAAGUGGAAUUCCGAGUGUAGAGGUGAAAUUCGUAGAUAUUCGGAAGAACACCAGUGGCGAAGGCGGCUUACUGGACCAGAAUUGACGCUGAGGUGCGAAAGCGUGGGAGCAAACA